CUACUAGGGUUUCUAAUCCUGUUCGCUCCCCAUGCUUUCGCUCCUCAGCGUCAGUUACAGCCCAGAGUCCCGCCUUCGCCACCGGUGUUCCUCCUGAUAUCUGCGCAUUUCACCGCUACACCAGGAAUUCCAGACUCCCCUACUGCACUCUAGUUACGCCCGUACCCACUGCACGCGCAAGGUUGAGCCUUGCGUUUCCACAGCAGACGCGACGAACCGCCUACGAGCUCUUUACGCCCAAUAAUUCCGGACAACGCUUGUACCCUACGUAUUACCGCGGCUGCUGGCAC
RNAcentral lists this ribosomal RNA (290 nucleotides) under uncultured Brevibacterium sp. RNAcentral's name for it is "partial 16S ribosomal RNA". The record is from RNAcentral. Lineage: Bacteria; Bacillati; Actinomycetota; Actinomycetes; Micrococcales; Brevibacteriaceae.